Ictidomys tridecemlineatus (thirteen-lined ground squirrel) is the source of this 139-nucleotide unclassified non-coding RNA. Lineage: Eukaryota; Metazoa; Chordata; Mammalia; Rodentia; Sciuridae. The record is from Ensembl.
CAGGACAGAACAACAGGCUCCCAGAAUCCUACAACAACACCACCAGAGGAGCAUUUCAGAGACCACCGAAGGCUGGCGAGUUCCCUGAGGCUAGUGGGUCCCCAAACAGGAGCAAGAGCCCAGGUGGGGGCUGGGAGGG